CCUACGGGACGCAGCAGUGGGGAAUAUUGGGCAAUGGAGGAAACUCUGACCCAGCGACGCCGCGUGCGGGAUGAAGGCCUUCGGGUUGUAAACCGCUUUCAGCAGGGAAGAAGCGAAAGUGACGGUACCUGCAGAAGAAGCACCGGCUAACUAUGUGCCAGCAGCCGCGGUAAUACAUAGGGUGCAAGCGUUGUCCGGAAUUAUUGGGCGUAAAGAGCUCGUAGGUGGUUCGUCACGUCGGAUGUGAAAAUCUGGGGCUUAACCCCAGACCUGCAUUCGAUACGGGCGAGCUUGAGUAUGGUAGGGGAGUCUGGAAUUCCUGGUGUAGCGGUGGAAUGCGCAGAUAUCAGGAGGAACACCAAUGGCGAAGGCAGGACUCUGGGCCAUUACUGACACUGAGGAGCGAAAGCGUGGGGAGCGAACAGGAUUAGAUACCCUGGUAGUCCACGCCGUAAACGGUGGGCACUAGUUGUGGGGACCUUCCACGGUCUCUGCGACGCAGCUAACGCAUUAAGUGCCCGCCUGGGGGUACCGAGUCGCAAGAUUAAAACUUAAGUAGUUAAUUGACGGCGUUGAGACGNGCCGACGGACGACGACGAGGGAGGAGG
Molecule: ribosomal RNA, 608 nt
Filed under: uncultured bacterium
Lineage: Bacteria
Description: bacterial SSU rRNA
Rfam family: Bacterial small subunit ribosomal RNA
Source: RNAcentral